CCAGCUCUCAGUGUCCUUCAGUGUCCUCUGGUCAUGGGGAAGGAAGUGCUGGUCCUGCUCCUGGAGAAAGGAUCCAUCUUCUCUGCCCUGUCCCCAGGUGCCAUCCAAGUGCUGUCCCCUCUGUUGUUCCCCCAGGAUGUGACACAGCUGCACAUCUGGAACCAAAGGUGAGUAGCACAGUGUUCCCAGUGUUUCUUUCUGACCUGCAAGAUAAAAUCCUUAGACAUUUUACUGUUUCACCAUUAUCAUUCUUCUGUUUUAUGAGAAAUCUUUAUUCGAUUUUUUUUUAAAAUAUUCUUUUACGCAUAGAUGGAAAAAAACCUUUUAUUACUUUACUGCUUGAGAUUAGGAUCAGUCUUCAAGAAAUUGGUGCUCACUUUAUGACCUGUGUCUGAUUUAUCUGCCCCGUUUUAGAAGAGCACAGUUCACUUGGACUCCUCAAAGCUCAGGGAUGUGUGGUUGGAACCUAUACAUGGGAUCACAGAAUCAGUGUCCCUUAUACAGCACAUAAAGGAUCUUAUAUUUUAUAUAUAUAUAUAAAUAAUCUCUCUAUAAAGCAUCUCUUGAGGGGAUGCUCAGGUCAAGAAGCUGAACUGACCUGGUACAACCAAUCCAACCAAAGCUGAGUGAUCCCACCCAUCCCAACCCCUCUGCCUUCUCCCCCACCCAGCUGGAGGUGAUCCAUGCACUUCCCUUUCCAGUGGAGCUGGAUAUGGACACACAAACCCAUUAAAAAUAUCCUUAUUUCUAACAGUGUGUGAUGCAUCUGUGCCCCCAGGCCUUUGUGAGGCAACGAGCAAGGUCACAAUUGACGUGCUGGAACUUCCAAUGUUGGAGCAAGGAAGGAGCAGAUCCUGCCCCAGGAGCAGCCAGCCAUGGCCACGCUGCAGGAGCUGCAAGUGCUCUGCAUUUCUUCUCACAGCAAAUACCUCAGAUGCUUCAAAUUCCCAGGCCUCCAGGCCCUGGAAAUGCUGUCUCCUGCAGUUUUCCAUAUAAACAUCACCCCCAAUUUCAGACCAAUUUGGCUGAAGGAGCAUGUUUGACAGAAAGGUGCAGCUGUAAUCUCUCAGGCCUGGCUGGGGAUGCCAAAUAAAUCUAUACCUUCUUGACAAUUAUAUCUUCACAAAAGCUUUGGAAAGAACAGCCAAGAAAGCUUGUCAAUAAGUUCCCUUUUUAUUAGAGGGAAGUCCUUUGGAAAGCCCAGGGAGGCAGCAAUUCCUGACGGAUCUCUGGAGGUGCUGCUGUGAGAGGCCAGUUAGAAACAGCUUUUUAUUGACAAACUUGGAUUUGGGAGGAAAUUUUUCCUAACAAAGUCUCGGCUCGAGUCAUUUCACGGCAUGUCCAUGAAAGCAGAUAGGAAGUAAAUAUAAUUUUUCCUUGAGCCAAGUAAAUUGGCUUAAAUGCUUGUGCUGAUGGCACAGGAACACUGCACCAAUGGAUAAUGAACCAGCGACUGGGAGAGGGAACAGGGCUCAGGAACAGCUCCUGGGAGGGAUGCUACAAGGCAAGAGGGAAGUUAUUUCCAAAGCCAGAUCUGAGAUUCAUUAGUGUUACGUGGGAUCCGGUUCCACAGGAGAGCUGAGGGUCCAAUUUUCCUGCUGUUCUGUGGCCGUGGCCCCCCCAGCCGGGCUGUGGGGAAGGACAAAUGGAGCUUAAUUCUCUUUGCUAUUUAGGACGUCUAUAUAUAAACCCAGGAAUAUGGGUUGUGACCCUUGGGGGGACCUUGGGCCGCUCCUCCUCCCCUUGCCCUACUUCUGGUAAUUAUGUUUUCUGAGUAGGUGCUUAUUCAUGGAACUCCUCUAAGAGAGAAUGUCUGUAAAUUCUGGAAAAUGUGUUUUCUUCAAGCAUUUUUCAGCCUGAGCAGGCAGCUAUUACCUGCCAGCAGCAUAAAAGUGCAGUUCCAGUGUGUCAAAUGCUUUCGAAUUUCCAGGCUUUGAUCAGGACCCUGUUUGGGCUGCAGUUUUCUCAUCGUCCUCUCGGGAGUUUCCUACGUGGCAUUUUUUGAUUAUUCUCAGCCCCAGUGAAGUUCUUCAUGAUCUUAAAGCAACUUAGCAGGGAUUGAGCUGCAGUAACAGGGAGGGAGUUCACCUGUG
Molecule: long non-coding RNA, 2093 nt
Filed under: Manacus vitellinus (golden-collared manakin)
Lineage: Eukaryota; Metazoa; Chordata; Aves; Passeriformes; Pipridae
Description: lncRNA (ENSMVIG00005008854.1)
Source: RNAcentral